AGGACAACUACGACACUAAGGG
RNAcentral lists this microRNA (22 nucleotides) under Brugia malayi. RNAcentral describes it as "bma-miR-5881b". RNAcentral also lists the same sequence under 1 other name. Lineage: Eukaryota; Metazoa; Nematoda; Chromadorea; Rhabditida; Onchocercidae. The record is from miRBase by way of RNAcentral.